CAAUAUCGGUACCAUAAAUACCACCCAUUAAAGGCUCUAUUAAAUUCUCAAGUACCUCAUUACCUAAUCUUGCUCUGAAAAAUGCACCAACAGAAAUGUCACCAUUCUGCAUUUGAGUAGGUUUUUUAAGUAAA
Molecule: small RNA, 134 nt
Filed under: Staphylococcus aureus
Lineage: Bacteria; Bacillati; Bacillota; Bacilli; Caryophanales; Staphylococcaceae
Description: 5'UTR
Source: RNAcentral